AGAGUUUGAUCAUGGCUCAGAUUGAACGCUGGCGGCAGGCUUAACACAUGCAAGUCGAGCGGUAGCAGGCCUUCGGGUGCUGACGAGCGGCGGACGGGUGAGGAAUGCAUAGGAAUCUGCCUAUUAGUGGGGAUAACACGGGGAAACUCGUGCUAAUACCGCAUACGUCCUACGGGAAAAAGCGGGGGAUCUUCGGACCUCGCGCUAAUAGAUGAGCCUAUGCCGGAUUAGCUAGUUGGUAGGGUAAAGGCCUACCAAGGCGACGAUCCGUAGCUGGUCUGAGAGGAUGAUCAGCCACACUGGGACUGAGACACGGCCCAGACUCCUACGGGAGGCAGCAGUGGGGAAUAUUGGACAAUGGGCGCAAGCCUGAUCCAGCCAUGCCGCGUGUGUGAAGAAGGCCUUCGGGUUGUAAAGCACUUUAAGUGGGGAGGAAGGUUAGUGGUUUAAUACGCUACUAAAUUGACGUUACCCACAGAAUAAGCACCGGCUAACUCUGUGCCAGCAGCCGCGGUAAUACAGAGGGUGCAAGCGUUAAUCGGAAUUACUGGGCGUAAAGCGCGCGUAGGUGGUUUUGUAAGUUGAAUGUGAAAUCCCCGGGCUUAACCUGGGAAUGGCAUCCAAAACUGCACGACUAGAGUAUGGGAGAGGGUGGUAGAAUUCCAGGUGUAGCGGUGAAAUGCGUAGAGAUCUGGAGGAAUACCGGUGGCGAAGGCGGCCUCCUGGCCUAAUACUGACACUGAGGUGCGAAAGCGUGGGUAGCAAACAGGAUUAGAUACCCUGGUAGUCCACGCCGUAAACGAUGAGAACUAGCCGUUGGUCUCCUUGAGAGGUUAGUGGCGCAGCUAACGCGAUAAGUUCUCCGCCUGGGGAGUACGGCCGCAAGGUUAAAACUCAAAUGAAUUGACGGGGGCCCGCACAAGCGGUGGAGCAUGUGGUUUAAUUCGACGCAACGCGAAGAACCUUACCUGGUCUUGACAUCCACGGAAUCCUGCAGAGAUGUGGGAGUGCCUUCGGGAACCGUGAGACAGGUGCUGCAUGGCUGUCGUCAGCUCGUGUUGUGAAAUGUUGGGUUAAGUCCCGUAACGAGCGCAACCCUUGUCCUUAGUUGCCAGCGAGUAAUGUCGGGAACUCUAAGGAGACUGCCGGUGACAAACCGGAGGAAGGUGGGGACGACGUCAAGUCAUCAUGGCCCUUACGACCAGGGCUACACACGUGCUACAAUGGCCGGUACAGAGGGUUGCCAAGCCGCGAGGUGGAGCCAAUCCCGAAAAGCCGGUCGUAGUCCGGAUUGCAGUCUGCAACUCGACUGCAUGAAGUCGGAAUCGCUAGUAAUCGCAGAUCAGAAUGCUGCGGUGAAUACGUUCCCGGGCCUUGUACACACCGCCCGUCACACCAUGGGAGUGGGUUGCACCAGAAGUAGUUAGCUUAACCGCAAGGGGAGCGAUUACCACGGUGUGAUUCAUGACUGGGGUGAAGUCGUAACAAGGUA
Molecule: ribosomal RNA, 1492 nt
Filed under: metagenome
Description: bacterial SSU rRNA
Rfam family: Bacterial small subunit ribosomal RNA
Source: RNAcentral